AAGUCGUAACAAGGUCUCCGUUGGUGAACCAGCGGAGGGAUCAUUACUGAGUACUACACUUCUACCCUUUGUGAACUAUUAUACCUGUUGCUUCGGCGGCGCCCGCAAGGGUGCCCGCCGGUCUCAUCAGAAUCUCUGUUUUCGAACCCGACGAUACUUCUGAGUGUUCUUAGCGAACUGUCAAAACUUUUAACAACGGAUCUCUUGGCUCCAGCAUCGAUGAAGAACGCAGCGAAACGCGAUAUGUAAUGUGAAUUGCAGAAUUCAGUGAAUCAUCGAAUCUUUGAACGCACAUGGCGCCUUCCAGUAUCCUGGGAGGCAUGCCUGUCCGAGCGUCGUUUCAACCCUCGAGCCCCUGUGGCCCGGCGUUGGGGAUCUGCCACGGCAGGCCCCUAAAACCAGUGGCGGACCCGAAGGGCCCCUCUCCUUUGCGCAGUAGCAUUCGCCUCGCAUCGGGAGUCCUCGGCGUCCUGCCUCUAAACCCCCCCACAAGCCCGCUUCGGCGGCACCAAGGUUGACCUCGGAUCAGGUAGGAAUACCCGCUGAACUUAA
RNAcentral lists this ribosomal RNA (552 nucleotides) under uncultured fungus. RNAcentral describes it as "eukaryotic LSU rRNA". The stretch from base 185 to 338 matches the Rfam family "5.8S ribosomal RNA". The record is from RNAcentral. Lineage: Eukaryota; Fungi.